AUUGAACGCUGGCGGCAGGCCUAACACAUGCAAGUCGAACGAGUGGCGGACGGGUGAGUAAUGUCUGGGAAACUGCCCGAGGGAGGGGGAUAAAUACUGGAAACGGUAGCUAAUACCGCAUACCAUUGGAUGUGCCCCGAUGGGAUUAGCGAGUAGGUGGGGUAACGGCUCACCUGGGCGACGAUCCCUAGCUGGGCUGAGAGGAUGACCAGCCACACUGGAACUGAGACACGGUCCAGACUCCUACGGGAGGCAGCAGUGGGGAAUAUUGCACAAUGAGCGCAAGCCUGAUGCAGCCAUGCCGCGUGUAUGAAGAAGGCCAUCGGGUUGUAAAGUACUUUCAGCGAGGAGGCGUUACUCGCAGAAGAAGCACCGGCUAACUCCGUGCCAGCAGCCGCGGUAAUAC
Molecule: ribosomal RNA, 406 nt
Filed under: uncultured bacterium
Lineage: Bacteria
Description: partial 16S ribosomal RNA
Rfam family: Bacterial small subunit ribosomal RNA
Source: RNAcentral